AACGAACGCUGGCGGCAUGCCUAACACAUGCAAGUCGAACGAUGCCUUCGGGCAUAGUGGCGCACGGGUGCGUAACGCGUGGGAAUCUGCCUUUCGGUUCGGAAUAACUCAGGGAAACUUGAGCUAAUACCGGAUAACGUCGCAAGACCAAAGAUUUAUCACCGAACGAUGAGCCCGCGUAGGAUUAGCUAGUUGGUGAGGUAAAGGCUCACCAAGGCGACGAUCCUUAGCUGGUCUGAGAGGAUGAUCAGCCACACUGGGACUGAGACACGGCCCAGACUCCUACGGGAGGCAGCAGUGGGGAAUAUUGGACAAUGGGCGAAAGCCUGAUCCAGCAAUGCCGCGUGAGUGAUGAAGGCCUUAGGGUUGUAAAGCUCUUUUACCCGGGAAGAUAAUGACGGUACCGGGAGAAUAAGCCCCGGCUAACUCCGUG
This 433-nucleotide ribosomal RNA is filed under the name uncultured bacterium. RNAcentral describes it as "partial 16S ribosomal RNA". It matches the Rfam family "Bacterial small subunit ribosomal RNA", at positions 29 to 507 of the family's 1533-position model. The record is from RNAcentral.